GCUGCUCACUCUUUGAGUCCGCACUGCCUUUAAGAGCUGUAACACUCACCACAAAGGUCUGCAACUUCACUCCUGAGGCCAGUGAGACCACAAACCCUCCAGAAGGAAUAAACAACUCCAGACGCACUGCCUUUAAGGGCUGUAACACUCACAGCGAAGGUCUGCAGCUUCACUCCUGAAGCCAGCAAGACCACGAACCCACUGGGAGGAAUGAACAACUCUGGACAGGAGGAAUGAACAACUCCAGACACACCAUCUUUAAGAACUCUAACACUCAUUGUGAGGGUCCGUGGCUUCAUUCUUGAAGUCAGCGAGACCAAGAACCCACCAAUUCCAGACACAGAAGCAGUUAAUUAAUAACUGGUAUAAUUAUUUGUUGGUGCCUGGCAUCUCAUUUAACUGGGAAGCUGCAUGGGUGGGGUCCAGGGCUGAGUCUGUGGUUUACUAAGGUGUCCCCACCUCUACUGCCCAGUGCUUGACACAUUGCCAGUGCUCAAUGUUUGCUAUGCAAUGAAUGGAAAAAUCACCCUUGUCUAAUGAAUGUUGAGUCUCACAUUUUAAUUUGUGAAUAAUUUCUCCAGUUUUAUAGCUUAGGAGUUUUCAUGGAUUGCUUUCCUGACCUGAGGUUCACAUGUUUGAAAUUUACCCUAACCAGCCUGACUCUCUGCCACUCUCUGUUGCUGGCCUUGUCUGUCUGGAGGAAGGAGGAGGGUAGAUUACCUUCUUACUCACUGAGGCAUCAGUGAUAAGUGAAAUUGAUUCUUUCCCCCAGGCCUGAUUCAGCAGGAAGCAUCUCAGACACCAACCACUAUGCUGCCAGCAGUGGCCCGGGGCUACCGGGGCUGGUUUCAUCCCUGUGCUAGGCUUUCUGUGAGGAUGAGCAGCACUGGGAUAGACCGGAAGGGCAUCCUGGCUAACCGAGUAGCCGUGGUCACGGGGUCCACCAGUGGGAUCGGCUUUGCCAUGGCCCGGCGUCUGGCCCGGGAUGGGGCCCACGUGGUCAUCAGCAGCCGGAAGCAGCAGAAUGUGGACCGGGCCGUGGCCGAGCUGCAGGGGGAGGGGCUGAGCGUGGCGGGCAUCGUGUGCCACGUGGGGAAGGCUGAGGACCGGGAGCAGCUGGUGGCCAAGGCCCUGGAGCACUGUGGGGGUGUCGACUUCCUGGUGUGCAGCGCAGGGGUCAACCCUCUGGUGGGGAGCACUCUGGGGACCAGUGAGCAGAUCUGGGACAAGGUGAGAGGCCUCCCCUGGGGAGGUGGCUGAGGGCCUGAUGCCAGUUCUGCGCUGGGCUCCAGCAUGCCUGUGCCCACCAAGACUCUCUGUUUCCCUCCAGAGGUUACAGGAGAAGCAGGCCCUGGGUGGUAGUCCUGCCUGGCCAGCUGUCUCCCAAAAUGUGCCCGGAUGCUACUUUCUGGCUUGUUGGUUCUUAAAUCUGGCCCCCACACUUUCUGCUUUGUUUUCUCUUCUCAUCACUUUUGCAUUUAAUCAUUCAGCAGAUAUUUAUUGCUGUUUUCCAGGCACCACCAUUCCAGGCUCUAGGGAUACAGCUGUGAAUGGUUAGUCAGAGUCUCUCUGUAAGAGUCAAACACUUCAGUAUGGUACACCCUUUUGUAGGGGAAGAUACGGAUACUGUGUUUCUCUUUGGUGACCUGUGCCUCUUGCAGAGACUGUCUCUCCUAGAAGGGGGCUCCUCACUGAGUCCCAUACGAACUUGCUGUCAGGACCAGAUCCAGCCAUCAGCAUUCCGGGGGCUUAGACAUCCCAGCCUGCUGCAAGUCCAUUCAAGGAUUCUGCCACCUUGUCCACAAGGGACCGGGAGAGACCUUGUAAAAUGCCUUGAAGCUCAUCUUGGGCCUAGUUGUUCCCCAAUGACUUCUGUUCCCUUCACUCUCAUGUUUUGUUUCCUCUUCUCUCUGCCAGAAUGCAUUGUGAUGAAUCUCAUUCUUUCUGCUAUUGUGAGCAUUCCCCACUCUGCCCUAAGCACUGGGUCAAAGUGUUUCCUGCCUUCUGGCCUUAGUGUGUUCUGCCUUCCCUAGAUCCUGCACUCUCACUUGCCAACAUCAUCUUUAGGCUGGCCCCUCCCUUCUAUCUGCCCUUGGCUGGGUGCCCUUGGCUAUGUCCUCAGAGAUGAUCUGAAAUUUGAGCUCCCUGCAGCCCCUGCUAUGCAGCUUCCCCAGGCUCUUUAGCUAUGUUGUUAAUGCCUCCAAAGGAUCAUUUGUGAUUUUAUAGCUGAGAUUUUAUUGCUGACAGUCUCCUAACCCUCCUGAAUCAUUUUCCUGUUUAGUGUCUCAGUUCACAGGAUCAUGACUCUUUUUCUCAAAACUGUUUGCAGUACUCCCUCCUGAAGCUGAGAGCAGAUGCCAACAAUCUGACCUUACUUUCUCUGAUUCUCCCCUGUUCUCCAAGGACUUGGCCUUCAGUGAGCAAUUCUGUACCACUGGACAGAAAUCAUUGAUGACUUGUCCCUGAUCACAUCUGCCAUCACCUCGGAGAUGAAAUUGUCACAAAAUGAGUUUAGAAUUUACUGGAUGCUCUGCUUUCAACUAAAUGUGUUUUCAGUAGGUGUCCUUUAAGGAGAAUUCCUUACCACUCAUCUUAUUCUUGAGCCAGUUUUGAGGCCAUCUCCAGGCAGACCCCCCUUCUUUCCAGCAGAUUGGGAAACCUCUAAUCUGUUAAACUACCAAAACCACAUCACCUCCAUCCUUCUCCUGAUCCAGUGACUCCAGCGUGUGCCCUCUUUCAGGCUCAUGGAUAGUUCUCUGCUCAGGACUACUUGGCACACAGAGCUACUCUCUCUUACUUUCUAAUGGGGCAGUUUUCUUCAUUAAGGGAGGGAGUCUCACCUUUUCUUUGGCUUGGGUUUUGUUCCUGCAUCUAGGAGGGGUCUUACCUCAGCCCCUCACUCAGCCUGAUGCACAUGGAGUAUUGGAAAGAUAUCCUGUGGGCUGGUUGGGGUCUGUUUUGACCAGGAAACCCUUACAGCUAGCCUAAUCCUCAAUUCCUUCUUAUUAGGGACCUCAGGGUGGUACCCCCUUCUGACAUCUGGGCCACUUCUUGCAGUCAUUGGGGGUCAUCCCCCACACUGGUAACCUGUCAUCAAAUGGGCCACAGCAACAUUCAGCUUAAGUAUUUCUCCUUCCCACAUCCAAGGGAUUGAGUGGGCAUGAGACUGGGGAGUGGAAAAAACAGUGAACAGUCCUGGUCAGUUGCAGAUGUGCAGUCUCAUUCCCUAGAGAUGCAGGAUGCAGCUGACCUGAAUCAGGACAGAUCCCUGCAGGAGGGACUCCUGGUGCCAUGUCAGUCCCACCUGGCACUGCCCUAGCUCCCAGGCUCUGCCUCUGCAUCUUUCCUUGCUACUUCCUCUUUCACUUCUCCCCUGUUCCCAGACCCACCAGACAGAGCUUCCAGAGUGUCAGGACCUGUGUGGCUUAGCCAAGAUUCAGACUUUAGUCAAAAGCAGGAUCAGUAUAGACAUCUAGCUCCCAGAAUGGCAAUUCUCUGUUGUGUCUCCCUGUUUGUAUUGGCUGCAGGAAAGCUCAGAGCCAAGUCUGCGAUAAACUGGUGUGUGUAGGCCCUUACAGCCUGCAUUUUUGUGACCAAAUAAUAGAAUAAAUGCUCAGUCCUUAUCACAUGCUGUGAACUGUAGGCACCAACCUCACUCUUGCUUUUUAUUAUUUUUCUACACUGAUUUUUCCUUUUCUCCAUUUCUUCACACAUAGUACCUAUUUGAUUUAUUUUAUGCUGUUGCAUUGUGAGUGUGCCUUAAAUUCUAUGGGGACAAGGCAAGAGGACAAGCAAAUGAAAGCUCAGAGAGACAAAAAAGGCUCUUCCAGAAGUCUCCCUUGCUUCUAGCACCUGCUUCCCCUCCAUCAGGCUGUCUUCAGUCUUUCUCCAGAGGCCUCUGCUUACAGUGUGUUGUUGUUUUCUUAAGAGACAGGGUCUCACUCUGUCACCCAGGCUGGAGUGCAGUGGCAUGAUCAUGGCACACUGCAGCUUCAAACUCCUGGGCUUAAGGGAUCCUCCUGCCUCAGCCUCUUGAGUAGCUAGGAUUACAGGUGUGCACCACCACACCAUGCCAAUUAUUUAAAAAUCUUGUAGAGACAAGGUCUCACUAUGUUGCUCAGGCUGGUCUUGAGCUUUUGGCCUUGAGUAAUCCUCCCACCUUGGCCUCCUAAAGUGCUGAGCAUGACCCACUGCCCUCAUUCCCCAUUUUCUUUAAAAGGCCUGAACAUUUCCUUCCUCGUGUCAGUCCUGAACAAUUCACAUUUUCAGGGCUCUGCUCACAGGCCUGUGACUUAGCCUGCCUGCCUAUGAAACCAUUAGCAAAUUAGAAAUACCUCUUGCACCAGUCAGAAGGGGAUUGGUUUCUCUUAUAUGCACAUAAAUUGGGUCUACUGCACAAAUUACAGGGCUCCAAGUGUCUUAUGAGAGCAGGACUUGGGCUGACCAUGUCUCUCUGCCCUCACCCAUGCUCUGCUCUGAUUUCAGAUCCUAAGUGUGAACGUGAAGUCCCCAGCCCUGCUGCUGAGCCAGUUGCUGCCCUACAUGGAGAAGAGGAGGGGUGCUGUCAUCCUGGUCUCUUCUGCUGCAGCUUAUUAUCCAGCAAAGGAGCUGGGUGUCUACAAUGUCAGCAAGACAGCACUGCUGGGUCUCACUAGAACACUGGCAUUGGAGCUGGCCCCCAAGGACAUCCGGGUAAACUGCCUGGUUCCAGGAAUUAUCAAAACUGACUUCAGCAAAGUGUUGCAUGAGAAUGAGUCUUUCUGGAAGAACUUCAAGGAACGUCAUCAGCUGCAGAGGAUUGGGGAGUCAGAGGACUGUGCAGGAAUCGUGUCCUUCCUGUGCUCUCCAGAUGCCAGCUACAUCACUGGGGAGAACAUUGCAGUGGCAGGCUUCUCCUCUCGGCUCUGAGAGGAGUGGGGGCAGCUGUGCAGCUGUGGUCUCAGGCCCAGGAGCCUGAGGGGGUGUCUAGGUGAUCAUUUGGAUCUGGAGGCAGAGUCUGCCAUUCUUCCAGACUAGCAAUUUGGGGGCUUACUCAUGCUAGGCUUGAGGAAGAAGAAAAACGCUUUGGUAUUCUCCUUAGGACUUAUCUGCUUGUAGAUUUGGCUGAUCCAAUCAACAUGUGGGGUUCUUGGUGUGGGGCUGGGGAGCUGAAGGAUUUUAUGGAGCUGGUGCUUUGGAGGAACCUUAAGGGAAAGGAGUAGAAGCUCAGGCCUUUGAAGGAUUUCAGCUCCUCCUCUCUGUAAUUUGUGCUUUAAGCAUUUUUUUCCUAAAAUAAACUCAAAUCUAUCCUCAA
RNAcentral lists this small RNA (5293 nucleotides) under Pongo abelii (Sumatran orangutan). RNAcentral describes it as "retained intron". Lineage: Eukaryota; Metazoa; Chordata; Mammalia; Primates; Hominidae. The record is from RNAcentral.